This 210-nucleotide long non-coding RNA is filed under the name Carica papaya (papaya). RNAcentral's name for it is "long non-coding RNA (CPAP_LNC005746)". The record is from RNAcentral. Lineage: Eukaryota; Viridiplantae; Streptophyta; Magnoliopsida; Brassicales; Caricaceae.
UCAAAAACCAUUAUGUUUCUUUCUUUCCAUAAGGCCCAAAAAGUAGCCAAAGAUUUAAGACUUAAUCUCUCUUGUCUCUUUUGACGCCCCUCCAAGCAUGAAGCUCCUCGUUUUUUUUACAUAAAAAGUGUGAAAUUAUAUUAACAUGGUACCAAAUAAUCGGGGGUACUGCCCUUAUACAAAAUCUUUACAAUGUAUUUAGCCCAUCAA